Molecule: ribosomal RNA, 429 nt
Filed under: Bacteroidota bacterium
Lineage: Bacteria; Pseudomonadati; Bacteroidota
Description: Bacteroidetes bacterium partial 16S ribosomal RNA
Rfam family: Bacterial small subunit ribosomal RNA
Source: RNAcentral
UAGGGAAUCUUCCGCAAUGGACGCAAGUCUGACGGAGCAACGCCGCGUGAGUGAAGAAGGAUUUCGGUUCGUAAAACUCUGUUGUUAGAGAAGAACAGCGCAUAGAGUAACUGUUAUGCGUGUGACGGUAUCUAACCAGAAAGCCACGGCUAACUACGUGCCAGCAGCCGCGGUAAUACGUAGGUGGCAAGCGUUGUCCGGAUUUAUUGGGCGUAAAGCGAGCGCAGGCGGUCAAUUAAGUCUGAUGUGAAAGCCCCCGGCUCAACCGGGGAGGGUCAUUGGAAACUGGUUGACUUGAGUGCAGAAGAGGAGAGUGAAAUUCCAUGUGUAGCGGUGAAAUGCGUAGAUAUAUGGAGGAACACCAGUGGCGAAGGCGACUCUAUGGUCUGUAACUGACGCUGAGGCUCGAAAGCGUGGGUAGCAAACAGG